Populus trichocarpa (black cottonwood) is the source of this 1849-nucleotide RNA transcript. It is a transcript of the gene named probable magnesium transporter NIPA4, with no coding region annotated. The transcript has 8 exons. The record is from RefSeq and is a predicted model, not a curated record. Lineage: Eukaryota; Viridiplantae; Streptophyta; Magnoliopsida; Malpighiales; Salicaceae.
GAAGCAGUGGCUUGAUGAGUCAGACAUGAGUCAUCUUCUGGUAAAACAAAUCCAACAUACCUCUCUCUCCACCCUUCGCAUCUAACCAAUCUCUCUCUCGCAACCGCAACACAGACAGCUGGAUCCACCACCACGCGCGCACCUCCACUCUACCUUUCUCUACGCGCCGACAUCAUCUUCCUUCCGCCUCUCAGAUCCGCUCCUUCUCCUAACUCCACACAGUUGCGAGCUGCUUCAAACUCAGUUUCAACUCCGUCCAAGUAAGAACUGAGUUUGGUAAAUAAAGAAAGAAAGAAAUGGUGGUAUGAAGAUAUAGCAAGGGUUGUUUGUUUACAAGUGGAAAAAUAGGGUUUUGGUGUUUUUAACUGUAGAAUUAUGGCGAUGGAGAGUGGGAGCUGGAAAGAGUCGUACAAGGGGAUGUCGGCUGAUAAUAUUAAGGGAUUAGUGUUGGCACUGUCUUCCAGCGUCUUUAUUGGUGCCAGUUUCAUUGUCAAGAAGAAGGGCUUGAAGAAAGCUGGGGCCUCCGGUAUCAGGGCAGGAAGUGGAGGUUAUACUUACUUAUAUGAACCGCUCUGGUGGGUGGGCAUGAUAACAAUGAUUGUUGGGGAAAUUGCUAAUUUUGCAGCUUAUGCGUUUGCACCAGCUAUCCUGGUCACUCCUCUUGGUGCUCUCAGCAUUAUUAUAAGUGCUGCUCUUGCACAUAUCAUAUUACGAGAGAAAUUGCAUAUUUUUGGAAUUCUUGGUUGUGUUCUUUGUGUUGUGGGUUCUACAACAAUUGUGCUGCAUGCUCCUCAAGAACGUGAGAUUGAAUCCGUGAAAGAAGUUUGGGAUCUCGCUACAGAGCCUGCCUUUCUGUUCUAUGCUGCUUUGGUCAUAGCAGCUGUAUUCAUUCUCAUAUUCCACUUUAUCCCUGACUAUGGCCAGACGCAUAUAAUGGUUUACAUUGGUGUUUGUUCUCUCGUAGGCUCCUUGUCGGUCAUGAGUGUUAAAGCACUUGGAAUUGCGUUGAAGCUGACACUGUCAGGAACGAAUCAGCUAAUAUAUCCGCAAACAUGGGUCUUUGCCUUUGUUGUAAUUACUUGUGUGCUUACCCAAAUGAAUUAUUUGAACAAGUUGAAGGGGAGCAUGUAGAGUGAAGAGCAUAUAUCUUACAAACUUGGCUGAGGGACUGUCUCGCUAUCAGGCAUCAUUCGUGUAACUGAUCAUACUGGGGAAUGGCUUCAAAAUCAGAUCAGCUCACUUUGUGGAGUGGUUUUAUCUCUUCAUAAAACCUCUUAAAACUCUUCAGUGAUGCUUCAUGAAGUCCCUAAGAUUUUCGAGUGAUUUUGGAAAUGUGAUCUUGCUGAUUGGUCUUCAUCUCUUUGUUUUUCAUGUAUUUUGUUCUUGUGGUUGAUUCAAAUGGAUAAAUGCUCAAGUUUGCUAUGAUUAGCAUUAUAAGGCCAGAUAGUAUUAUUUUUCUUAGGAUGCUAUUUGUUGGUGGUAUCAAAAACCCUGUAUGAUGUGGGAAAUCCAAAUUCUUGAUACAAUGGAUUCUGGGCUUGAUAACAAUGCCUUUUAUUUUACCUGAUAUGUUUGGAGUAAUGUCUCUAGCUGCGUAUAGAAAAUUGUAUGGGUGUGUGGGUUUCUGUCGGAGAGAUGAGGGUUGGGAUUCCUACUUCAAUGGAUCUUUGGAACUGUUGAAACUUGGUUGGUGGUAGAGUAUCUUUCGGUCUUUAUGUUGUCUAGUGCAUGGGAUGUAUGAAAUAUUUUGGAGGAUGUGAAGAAAUUAUAUUAAUUAGCUUUUUUUUUUUUUGCUGUGAUAAAAUAAAAUUGGAUUGAUUCUCGUUUAGUCAUUUGAUCACCAGGGGUA